GCCUCGCGCGAUUGGAGCGGCCGAUGUCGGAUUAGCUAGUUGGUAGGGUAAAGGCCUACCAAGGCGACGAUCCGUAGCGGGUCUGAGAGGAUGAUCCGCCACACUGGGACUGAGACACGGCCCAGACUCCUACGGGAGGCAGCAGUGGGGAAUUUUGGACAAUGGGCGCAAGCCUGAUCCAGCCAUGCCGCGUGAGUGAAGAAGGCCUUCGGGUUGUAAAGCUCUUUCAGGUGGAAAGAAAACGCAUAGGUUAAUACCUUGUGUGGAUGACGGUACCAUCAGAAGAAGCACCGGCUAACUACGUGCCAGCAGCCGCGGUAAUACGUAGGGUGCGAGCGUUAAUCGGAAUUACUGGGCGUAAAGCGUGCGCAGGCGGUGAUGUAAGACAGAUGUGAAAUCCCCGGGCUCAACCUGGGAACUGCGUUUGUGACUGCAUCACUCGAGUACGGCAGAGGGAGGUGGAAUUCCGCGUGUAGCAGUGAAAUGCGUAGAUAUGCGGAGGAACACCGAUGGCGAAGGCAGCCUCCU
This 528-nucleotide ribosomal RNA is filed under the name Zoogloea sp. RNAcentral describes it as "bacterial SSU rRNA". It matches the Rfam family "Bacterial small subunit ribosomal RNA", at positions 210 to 730 of the family's 1533-position model. The record is from RNAcentral. Lineage: Bacteria; Pseudomonadati; Pseudomonadota; Betaproteobacteria; Rhodocyclales; Zoogloeaceae.